UUAUUUUCGGUUUUUGUCGUUAUUUUGUUCGAUCUGUGUCAUUAAUAUGAAAUUUCUCACUUUGUCAAAUGUGAUUAUUUGAGCUUUUUGGUGUAAAUAAAGCUUUUAACUUUAUAAUUUUUCUGAUGGUUCGGGUAUUUUUGUUCUGUUUCUCUUUGCAUUCUUUUUGUUGAUUGAAUUGGAACUUUGGGGAAUUGUAUGCUUUUUUAGUGGGAUGCUCUCAUGUUCAGCAGUUUUUAAGUAAUCAAGUUGCUUAGCACUAUAUAACUGUCAAAUUUGUAAACUUUAGGUCUUGAAGUUUGGUUUCCGUUUUUUUUAGUCAAUAAAAAUUAUCUCAUAGUUCUUGUUUGAAUUUGUAAACUCGAUCUCAUAUUUUCUUGUUUGUAGAUGAUCAUGGCAAAAGUUGUUGUUCCCAAUCCAAAAUGGUACAAUACUAGUAGUUCAAAUUGUUUAAUGAUUCACAAGUUGCUUCAUUUGUAAUGUUUAUGUUAUCGGAUAAAUACUCAAUGACAUUCUUCCAGAUGGAUGUAUGAAUUUUUGAGAAGGAUUCCACGAAAUCUAUCCGACUUAACUUUUUGUAUUCAAACAGCUGGUGUAUAGGAAGCUACUGGAUGAAGCGAUGGUCUCUUAGACAAAGUUAGUUGGUAGCUCAAACACAAGCAGUUAGAAACAAUAUUGAUUAGCAAAUGAACUUGGUUCAAGUGUCCUUUUAGGGAUUGUUUGCCCAUUCCCUACCGGGGAAAGAACAUUUAUAUCGUCUUGUAGUGUUUUUGAACUGCGCAAACCCCAUGCUCUUUGUUUUGCAACAUGACAAGUUUGAGAACUCAUUUUUUUCGAGUUUCAAAUAUCUUGCUAAGCACCCAACGGUGUGGCCUGGUGGUGAAUGAAGUGGGUUGAGAACCUGAGGUCUCCGGUUCAAAGCCAGCAUAGACAAAAGGCCUGGACACCAUGGUUAUCAAAAUAAAGAAAAGCAAAAGAAAUAUCUUGCUAAGAAAGAGUCUUUGCAGUUUAGCCAAAAAUAUCCUUAUGUCUGCUGUCUUAGGGCUCAUUUGUUUGCUCUUAAUGGAUAUCUGAAUCUGAAUGGUUCAGACUUCAAACCAUUAAGUGCAUUUAUUUUUUAUUAAGAUUUUAGCUCUUAAUAGGUCUUAAUCAUUCAGAUCUAGAAUCAAGUCUUAAUAGGUCUGAAGAGGUAUUCUGGUGUUAGAUAAUAUUCACCGCCACUCUAUUCAUAAUCAUCAAUCACCACCACUAAUCCCCUCUGCCACCACCACCAUUAUCAACCACCACCCACCGCCACCAACCACCUCCGCCAUCACAACCACCAUCGACAACAAAUAUCACUACCAACCACUAUUGUCAAUCGCUACCACACCUACUACCUCUAUUAUUCUAAUUCUAUUCACCACCACCACUGCUGUCAAUAGUACCACCAUCACCAAUCACUACCGGCCAAUCUCUACUAUCGAUCAACUCAUCUAUCACAACUUCCACCACCGCUAACUACCACUAAUACAUCUACUAUCGAUCAACUCAUCUAUCACAACUUCCACCACCGCUAACUACCACUAAUACAUCACAACCUCCACACAUCUUCGACCGUCACUACCAUUGUCACUAGUAACGCUACCUCUACCAUCACUUCAACCACUACCAUCACUACAAUUUAUCUCUACUAACAAGCAUCUCCACCAUCACAACUAACAACAUCUCCAAGUAGCACCAACACAUUGUCAACCAUCAUGCAUUCAUUUUUCAAUCAUCACAAUUAACACCUCCAACUUCUAACAUCAAGCAACGUCACAUCACAACCACCACCACCACUAUCAACCGCCACCAUCAUUACAGUCACUACAAUACCAACCAUUACAACUAUCACCACUAACAUUACUAAUCCCUAACAUCAAUCAUUGUCACCGCAACCACCAUUAUAAACCAUCUCCACUAUCACUAACAAACAUAAAUAUUUUUUUUCAAUCAAAUAAUAAUUUUGUUGUAUUCAAUUAUAUUUUCUGAUAUAUAAUUAGUUCUUUAUUUGAAUUGUAUUUUUUAUUUUAUUAUAUAUACAAAUAAAUUUUUUUACACAUUCAGAUAUUGAAAAACAAACAACCUUAAUCAUUCAGUUUUUAGAUCUAAAGAAAACAUCUUUAUCAUUCAGAUGUGCAUUCAGAUUCAGACAUCUGAAUCUUAAAAAAAACAAAUGCAGCCUUAGGAUCUAUCUUUUGGAGAUUAAAAUAAAUUUUAAAGCCUUCUAGGACUGCUAAUAUUGGAACCAGAUGCUACUUUCUCUGUCAGGAUUUUGUGCUAUUUUAAAAUUAUGAUCACUAAAUCCUUUCAUUUGUGUAAUUUUCCCGCUAUAGCGGAAGUCAAUAUUGGUCAUUCCUGCAUAGUAGGCAGAUCCCACUAUAAUGAGGCCGUUAUAGUGGGAAUUAGACCUCUAUAAUGGACACUAUAUGCAUCUAUUUGUUUGUUUGACGUAAUGUGUCUUAAGAUUUUCCUAUUUACAUGUUGCAUUGCCUGUUAAAGACCAUAUCUCAAACAGAAGUACCCUUAUGUAUUGGAAUUAUCAAAACAUGCUUUUAGCAGCUUAAGUUCCCU
This 2595-nucleotide long non-coding RNA is filed under the name Capsicum annuum. RNAcentral's name for it is "long non-coding RNA (CANN_LNC017294)". Lineage: Eukaryota; Viridiplantae; Streptophyta; Magnoliopsida; Solanales; Solanaceae. The record is from RNAcentral.